Long non-coding RNA from Toxotes jaculatrix (banded archerfish), 500 nucleotides. RefSeq lists it as uncharacterized. The transcript is spliced from 4 exons. NCBI's taxonomy places the organism in Eukaryota, Metazoa, Chordata, Actinopteri, Toxotidae. The record is from RefSeq and is a predicted model, not a curated record.
GAAGAAACGUCGUGUGUCGAGGCUAAAAUGUUAGCGAACAAGAUGAAGUGUGAAAGGUGUUAGGUCCGGUGGGGAGCUAAAGGGUCUGGCGAAGCCCCUGAGGACCAUUCAACAAAAACCAUACCAAGGGCAGACAAUUCACAUCUGCUGUGAUGAGACCGCGAAGCCCAUUGUGAAAAUUAGUAUCAACAUGGACGGAGCUGCAGAGGAGUGGAGCACUGAGGGAGGACCAGCGAGGAGACGAACACACAGUCAACUAGACAAACCUGCAGCCCAGCUCUGGUGACAAGCUUAUUCCAGCGGGGUAACACACAGAGACACCCCUGCAAUCACUGGACAUACUCACCACAUUCCUGCAGUCCAGCUCUAAUGUCAUCACAUUGCCUAAACAUUACAGAAUGCUCCUCAGGACGAUUGGGGCCACUGAUUCAGCCUACAGUCUCUGGUAUGUGAGGGAUUCUGUGAGCAGGCUACGAAUCCAAGAGUCAUCUCUGCUGAGC